CAAUUUUGUAUAGCAAUCAUCACUUCUUUCUUGUUCUAAUCCAUUCAAGAAGAAGGUUAAUCUGUCCUUUUCACUUCUCUUUUUUUUUCAAAUACCCUUUGUUCAAGACUCUUCCUUUAAGAUGGCUUCUAUAUCACCCUUAUCUCAAUCUCAACCCCUUUUGGAGAAACCUCAGUUUACAGUUUUGAACAAGUCUCAAAAUCAGUUUUUUUCAAUACCCUUUUCAAGAUUCACUCAAAGUUGUAAUCUUUCUUUGAAAAAAUCAAGGAUGGUGGUUGUUUCAGCAACAACUGCUGCUGAGAAAUCAAAUAAGAGGUAUCCUGGUGAGG
RNAcentral lists this unclassified non-coding RNA (329 nucleotides) under Hevea brasiliensis (rubber tree). The record is from RNAcentral. Lineage: Eukaryota; Viridiplantae; Streptophyta; Magnoliopsida; Malpighiales; Euphorbiaceae.